GGGCCUAUAGCUCAGCUGGUUAGAGCGCACGCCUGAUAAGCGUGAGGUCGGUGGUUCGAGUCCACGUAGGCCCACCA
This 77-nucleotide transfer RNA is filed under the name Escherichia coli. RNAcentral describes it as "tRNA-Ile". It matches the Rfam family "tRNA". Rfam says of the family: Transfer RNA (tRNA) molecules are approximately 80 nucleotides in length. Their secondary structure includes four short double-helical elements and three loops (D, anti-codon, and T loops). Lineage: Bacteria; Pseudomonadati; Pseudomonadota; Gammaproteobacteria; Enterobacterales; Enterobacteriaceae. The record is from RNAcentral.